UACGUAGGGCGCAAGCGUUAUCCGGAAUUAUUGGGCGUAAAGAGCUCGUAGGCGGUUUGUCGCGUCUGCUGUGAAAGACCGGGGCUCAACUCCGGUUCUGCAGUGGGUACGGGCAGACUAGAGUGAUGUAGGGGAGACUGGAAUUCCUGGUGUAGCGGUGAAAUGCGCAGAUAUCAGGAGGAACACCGGUGGCGAAGGCGGGUCUCUGGGCAACAACUGACGCUGAGGAGCGAAGGCUAGGGGAGCAAACGGG
Molecule: ribosomal RNA, 253 nt
Filed under: uncultured bacterium
Lineage: Bacteria
Description: partial 16S ribosomal RNA
Rfam family: Bacterial small subunit ribosomal RNA
Source: RNAcentral